ACUAAAUAGAUACCCAGGUAGUCCACGCCCUAAACGAUGUCUACUAGUUGUCGGGUCUUAAUUGACUUGGUAAACGCAGCUAAAACGCGUGAAGUAGACCGCCUGGGGAGUACGGUCGCAAGAUUAAAACUCAAAGGAAUUGACGGGGACCCGCACAAGCGGUGGAUGAUGUGGAUUAAUUCGAUGCAACGCGAAAAACCUUACCUACCCUUGACAUGGAUGGAAUCCCUGAGAGAUUGGGGAGUGCCCGAAAGGGAACCAUUACACAGGUGCUGCAUGGCUGUCGUCAGCUCGUGUCGUGAGAUGUUGGGUUAAGUCCCGCAACGAGCGCAACCCUUGUCAUUAGUUGCUACGAAAGGGCACUCUAAUGAGACUGCCGGUGACAAACCGGAGGAAGGUGGGGAUGACGUCAAGUCCUCAUGGCCCUUAUGGGUAGGGCUUCACACGUCAUACAA
Molecule: ribosomal RNA, 455 nt
Filed under: uncultured bacterium
Lineage: Bacteria
Description: bacterial SSU rRNA
Rfam family: Bacterial small subunit ribosomal RNA
Source: RNAcentral